GUGUGUGUAGGAGCUGGGUUAUAGUUAUGUAGAGAUGAAUGCCAGCUGUCUCUGUGUGUGUGUGUAGGAGCUGGGUUAUAGUUAUGUAGAGAUGAAUGCCAGCUGUCUCUGUGUGUGUGUGUGUAGGAGCUGGGUUAUAGUUAUGUAGAGAUGAAUGCCAGCUGUCUCUGUGUGUGUAGGAGCUGGGUUAUAGUUAUGUAGAGAUGAAUGCCAGCUGUCUCUGUGUGUGUGUGUGAGCUGGGUUAUAGUUAUGUAGAGAUGAAUGCCAGCUCUGUCUCUGUGUGUGUGUGUAGGAGCUGGGUUAUAGUUAUGUAGAGAUGAAUGCCAGCUGUCUCUCUGUGUGUGUAGGAGCUGGGUUAUAGUUAUGUAGAGAUGAAUGCCAGCUGUCUCUGUGUGUGUGUGUGUAGGAGCUGGGUUAUAGUUAUGUAGAGAUGAAUGCCAGCUGUCUCUGUGUGUGUGUGUAGGAGCUGGGUUAUAGUUAUGUAGAGAUGAAUGCCAGCUGUCUCUGUGUGUGUGUGUGUAGGAGCUGGGUUAUAGUUAUGUAGAGAUGAAUGCCAGCUGUCUCUGUGUGUGUGUGUAGGAGCUGGGUUAUAGUUAUGUAGAGAUGAAUGCCAGCUGUCUCUGUGUGUGUGUGUAGGAGCUGGGUUAUAGUUAUGUAGAGAUGAAUGCCAGCUGUCUCUGUGUGUGUGUG
This 691-nucleotide long non-coding RNA is filed under the name Salmo salar (Atlantic salmon). Its description in RNAcentral is "lncRNA (ENSSSAG00000095624.1)". Lineage: Eukaryota; Metazoa; Chordata; Actinopteri; Salmoniformes; Salmonidae. The record is from RNAcentral.